AUUGAACGCUGGCGGCAUGCUUUACACAUGCAAGUCGAACGGCAGCACGGGCUUCGGCCUGGUGGCGAGUGGCGAACGGGUGAGUAAUAUAUCGGAACGUACCCAGAAGUGGGGGAUAACGUAGCGAAAGUUACGCUAAUACCGCAUACGAUCUAUGGAUGAAAGCAGGGGACCGCAAGGCCUUGUGCUCCUGGAGCGGCCGAUAUCUGAUUAGCUAGUUGGUGAGGUAAAGGCUCACCAAGGCGACGAUCAGUAGCUGGUCUGAGAGGACGACCAGCCACCCUGGAACUGGGCCACGGUCCAGACUCCUACGGGAGGCAGCAGUGGGGAAUUUUGGACAAUGGGCGCAAGCCUGAUCCAGCAAUGCCGCGUGAGUGAAGAAGGCCUUCGGGUUGUAAAGCUCUUUUGUCAGGGAAGAAACGGUAGAGGCUAAUAUCCUUUGCUAAUGACGGUACCUGAAGAAUAAGCACCGGCUAACUACGUG
This 484-nucleotide ribosomal RNA is filed under the name uncultured bacterium. Its description in RNAcentral is "partial 16S ribosomal RNA". It matches the Rfam family "Bacterial small subunit ribosomal RNA", at positions 30 to 507 of the family's 1533-position model. The record is from RNAcentral.